AUGGACCGACCACCCAGGACCCAGCGGAUUACCCGGCUGUACAAUUUUUAUGGUAACCCCGACUCCUGUCGGACUUUUUUCUUGGAUGUGGUGAGAUUUUAUGGCCUGGACGCUUUGGACAAGGACUUGAUUAUUAAUACGGUGCUCCUCCUAAGGGGAAGAGCCCUGCAAUGGGCCAGCCGUUACCUUGAGGAAUAUCCUUUAGAGGAGUUGGUUUUCUGGGAUCUUGCAGAGGAUCUAGAGGAUGCUUACAGCAGCCCACAAGCUCCCUCCAUUUCAAUGGACCACAAUCUGUCAGCAAGCGCCGUGGUAAGAGCUGCCCUCUCGGCAUCUUCGAAGCACCACACCUCCACAUCUUCGCCUGGUCCUGACAGCACCACCUCCCCGUCUCUGACAGACAGAACCGGCAUUGUCUCAUUCACCCCUGUCCAUGUAGGUGCCGUCUCAGCAUCUCUGAUGGGCCAAAUCGCCACACCCUCACCUGAUCCUGACAGCGCCACCACUUCAUCUCCGGUGGGCUGUAACUGGUCCUCUGUACCUGCCGACGUCACCCCCAUACCUCCAAGGAGUCGUGCUCGUCGCAGACGUCACCGCCAUCACCCACAAUCAUGCAAAGCCAGAGUUGUGCCGCCUAUUUCAAAGGCCCCUGCUCUGCAACCCACGUCUGAGUUCCAUCUGCCAUCACCACAUCCAGCUUCAGCGGUGGUCCCGGAGGACGCUUCGCAUCCUGCCUCAGCAGUGGUCCCGGGGGACGCAUCGCAUCCUGACUCGGCGGUGGUCCAAGAGGACGCAUCGCAUCCUGCUUCGGCGGUGGUCCAAGAGGACACAUCGCAUCCUGCUUCGGCGGUGGAGGACGCACAGGCUCCGGUCCAGCCCAUCCAAGAGGCUCCGGUCCAGCCCGUCCACGAGGCUCCGGUCCAGCCAAUCCACAAGCUCUGGUACAGCCAGUCCGAGAGGCUUCGUCCAGUCCGAUGCCCCCAGGCCAGAAGUCGAUGCUCCCAGGCCAGAAGUCGAUGCCCCCAGGCCAGAAGUCGGCGCCCCUAG
This 1044-nucleotide long non-coding RNA is filed under the name Nothobranchius furzeri (turquoise killifish). RNAcentral's name for it is "lncRNA (ENSNFUG00015023374.1)". Lineage: Eukaryota; Metazoa; Chordata; Actinopteri; Cyprinodontiformes; Nothobranchiidae. The record is from RNAcentral.